Molecule: long non-coding RNA, 1950 nt
Filed under: Anas platyrhynchos platyrhynchos (common mallard)
Lineage: Eukaryota; Metazoa; Chordata; Aves; Anseriformes; Anatidae
Description: lncRNA (ENSAPLG00000029742.1)
Source: RNAcentral
AUAUAUUUUUAAGUAAGAGAGCUGUCAUAAAGUGGGACAGAUGUUGAGAAGAUCAGGUGCGAGCAAAACCAUCCCCUCCAGUCUGCUCUCCCUCUCCGUAUCCACAAGACCUGUGUGUGCAGAAGGAGAUGACGAAGACACCUUAUGUCAAGAAGAUGCCCAGAAAGCUGGAAAAGAUGGCAUCUCGUCAGGUCAUUGCUUGCGCUGAGACAUUUCAUCACCAGGCCGUUUUGGCUCCACGCUGUGUUAGUGCUAGCCUGGAACCGGGAUUUACUGCUUCCUCACACCCGGCCACAAACAGAAGCGCUGCUGAAACGCCGCUGCAAAAAGGGGUCAGCGACAGAGUGCUACCAAAAGGAAGCAGCGAGGGAAUUUCUCCCCCUGCUCAGGUUGCAUCUUAGGGUUUGCUCCGUGCUUGGGCCAUAUGUGACCCGUGCCCCAGGGGGAUGGGGGGGACAUCAAAGGGCAGCCUCAGGCGGGGAUGAGCUCACUCGCCUGUGCUUGACCCCUGCUGCAAGGCAGGGGGUGGCAGCUCCGUGUCCACACAUCCCUGCAACGGCUGGGGGGGGUUUGGGGCAGGGAACCCCCUGCCUGCAGCUGCCUGGGCUUUGUGAGAACCUGAUCUGCCUUCCCUUGAGCCUGUGGCUUGCUCUCAGUAAUGCCACUUGGUCCUGCACGGCAGCAGCUCGCAUCAGGGAUGGGGCCAGCGGCUCUGCUGGACGUCCCCGCGUGGAGCUUUGGUGCCCCUGGCUCCAGCAGAUACGAACAGGCUCUGUGGAUCCCCUCAUCUCCUGGAUCUCCAGGAGAGCAGGGACGUGCCAAGCCAUAUGGCUAAUUUGUACAGGUCCUGUCACAAACGAGCACUGAGCUCUGUAAUUGCCAGAGCCGGCCGCAGGAUGAGUGCUGACUGCACCGCCGCUCUCAGGCUUUGCUGUUUGUUUGCUUUCUGAGCAAAACCAAACCUUCGGGUGCUGUCCUGAAGACGUGUGGGUGUGCUGGGCAAAUUCAAAUCCUCUCUGCUUGAAUUAUUUCCCACCUUGAACACGAUGGUGCCCCAUACCCUAACGCACCUGCAGUGCCUCUCUCUCCCCUGUGUCCUCACCUCUCCGGGCUGAGGAAUCCAGCCUGGCGUCUCCCAGGGCUUCCCAGCUCCUCCUGGCUGCCGAGGCAGUGUUGGUUCAGCUCCAAGGCACGGGGAGGUUUUGCCAGCACGCACCCCGUGCUGAGGACCCACCAGGCACACCACAGCAGCCACCUGUUCUCAGGCUUUGCAGGAGACGAGCAAAAUUUCCCAGACUGCUGCCUCCUCCAGGAAUGCUGCCUGUUAAUUAUUAUUAAUGACUCCCUGCGACUUUUACUAUUACCAAUACUAAUUAAUUGGGUUAUUGCUACCAUUUCUCUCGGAGGUGUUUGGGGGUGGCACGUCCAAAAAAACAGGCUCGGCUUUCAAUAUGGAAAAAGGACAAGAGGGAGCUCACUCCGUGCUCUUUGGGGGGCACAAGGCAGCAGAGGUGAGCAGCCCUUAGCCCUGGCACUCCUUAGCUGGUUCUCCUUAACUUAUUCUCCCUGUGUCUGGAUGAGCAGCCAGUCUCUCCAAGCAGUCAGCCAGGAAGCUACCCAAAGGCAAAGGCCAGGAGAAGACAGACAGCAACCUCCACCACGGCACGCCUUUGUCCCCAGAUCCUGGUCUCAUCAUCGCACUCCAUCACGGAGCAGAUAACAAAGCUGCCCAUCACAGCAGAUCUUCCUGGCCCUGGGCUCGGGGUGAGCCGGGCUCCUCUGUGGUGAGACCUGUCAUUAAACGUAUGGCACAGCCCCAAUUUACCAAAAAUAUCCCUGAAGAAUGGAAAAGAGGAGAGGCGCGUGUGCAGGCAUGCUUGCGUGCAUGCGUGUCCACAAAGCCAUUUGCUGUUUAGGUGUCAGAAAUAAAUUUUACCACUGGAGUCUGCA